GACGAACGCUGGCGGCGUGCUUAACACAUGCAAGUCGAGCGGUAAGGCUCCUUCGGGAGUACACGAGCGGCGAACGGGUGAGUAACACGUGAGCAAUCUGCCCUUCACUUUGGGAUAACUCCGGGAAACCGGUGCUAAUACCGAAUGCGACCACUUCAGGCAUCUGACGGUGGUGGAAAGUUCCGGCGGUGAAGGAUGAGCUCGCGGCCUAUCAGCUUGUUGGUGAGGUAAUGGCUCACCAAGGCUUCGACGGGUAGCCGGCCUGAGAGGGUGACCGGCCACACUGGGACUGAGACACGGCCCAGACUCCUACGGGAGGCAGCAGUGGGGAAUAUUGGACAAUGGGCGAAAGCCUGAUCCAGCAACGCCGCGUGAGGGAUGACGGCCUCGGUUGUAACGUACUUUCUAGCAGGGACGAAGCGAAAGUAGACGGUACCGUAGCAAAG
This 446-nucleotide ribosomal RNA is filed under the name uncultured bacterium. RNAcentral's name for it is "bacterial SSU rRNA". It matches the Rfam family "Bacterial small subunit ribosomal RNA", at positions 28 to 490 of the family's 1533-position model. The record is from RNAcentral.